Molecule: ribosomal RNA, 253 nt
Filed under: uncultured bacterium
Lineage: Bacteria
Description: partial 16S ribosomal RNA
Rfam family: Bacterial small subunit ribosomal RNA
Source: RNAcentral
UACGUAGGCAGCGAGCGUUGUUCGGAAUUACUGGGCGUAAAGAGUGUGUAGGCGGUGUUCCCAGUCUGUUGUGAAAUCUCCCGGCUUAACUGGGAGGGUGCAGCGGAAACUAGAAUGCUAGAGGGUGGGAGAGGUAAGCGGAAUUCCUGGUGUAGCGGUGAAAUGCGCAGAUAUCAGGAGGAACACCAAUAGCGAAGGCAGCUCGCUGGGACGUUACUGACACUAAGGCGCGAAAGCGUGGGGAGCGAACAGG